CUGCCAAUCUACCCACCGCUGCCAACCUACCUACCGCUGCCAAUCUACCUACCGCUGCCAAUCUAUCUAUCACUGCUAAUCUAUCGCUGCUAAUCUAUCGCUGCUAAUCUAUCGCCGCCAACCUACCUACCGCUGCCAACCUAUCUAUCGCUGCUAAUCUAUCACUGCUAAUCUAUCGCUGCUAAUCUACCGCUGCCAACCUACCUACCACUGCCAACCUAUCUAUCGCUGCUAAUCUAUCACUGCUAAUCUAUCACUGCCAAUCUAUUGCUGCUAAUCUAUCGCUGCUAAUCUACCGCUGCCAACCUACCUACCGCUGCCAACCUAUCUAUCGCUGCCAAUCUACCUACCGCUGCCAAUCUAUCUAUCACUGCUAAUCUAUCGCUGCUAAUCUAUCGCUGCUAAUCUACCGCUGCCAACCUACCUACCACUGCCAACCUAUCUAUCACUGCUAAUCUAUCACUGCUAAUCUAUCGCUGCUAAUCUAUCGCUGCUAAUCUACCGCUGCCAACCUACCUACCACUGCCAACCUAUCUAUCGCUGCUAAUCUAUCGCUGCUAAUCUACCGCUGCCAACCUACCUACCACUGCCAAUCUAUCUAUCGCUGCUAAUCUAUCGCUGCUAAUCUAUCGCUGCUAAUCUAUCGCUGCUAAUCUAUUGCUGCUAAUCUAUCACUGCCAACCUACCUACCGCUGCCAACCUACCUACCGCUGCCAACCUAUCUAUCGCUGCCAACCUAUAUAGGGUAAAUCAUGGUCCCAUUUGGUCCCAUUUUGUAAAAUGAGACCAAAUGGGACCAGGAUCACUAAUUUAUUAGUAAAACAUGAUCUGAGACUAGAUUUAUAAUAUAAACAGUGUAAAGUGACUAAUUUGCUAAACACUAUAUGAGACCAGAACUAAGAUAUCUAAUAAUGGAACUGAGGAAAAAUUUGGUCCCAGUUCCAUACAUGAUCACAUGGCCAGUCUACUUCUAUAUUUUGAUAAUCAGAUGCAGUAGAUUUUAUAUCUUUUAAUAAAAGUAUUUUAUCUUCAUAUAUUAUACUGUCUCUUUUCACAAGCUC
Molecule: small RNA, 1061 nt
Filed under: Histoplasma capsulatum
Lineage: Eukaryota; Fungi; Ascomycota; Eurotiomycetes; Onygenales; Ajellomycetaceae
Also listed under: 1 other name
Description: hypothetical RNA
Source: RNAcentral